Molecule: long non-coding RNA, 164 nt
Organism: Centruroides sculpturatus (bark scorpion)
Lineage: Eukaryota; Metazoa; Arthropoda; Arachnida; Scorpiones; Buthidae
Exons: 2
Source: RefSeq, a predicted model, not a curated record
CCGAAAACAAUUUUCGUACACCAGAUGGCGGUAUGAGUAGCGGCAAGAUCGUUUUGUAGUCGUUUGGCAUGUUUGGUUGAUACGAGGAUCUAAUAAAACAAUGGAUACCGAUUUAUAUGAUGAAUUUGGAAAUUAUAUUGGUCCCGAAUUAGAAAGUGAAUCGG